Molecule: unclassified non-coding RNA, 184 nt
Filed under: soil metagenome
Description: partial contains 5.8S ribosomal RNA, internal transcribed spacer 2, and large subunit ribosomal RNA
Source: RNAcentral
AACAAGGCGUACCUGCGGACCUGCGGAGGGAUCAUUACUGGGUUUUUGGGCUCUGCCCGCCACCCGCCCUCUGUUAUUUAGUGACUAUUGUUUCGGCCAGUGGGGCAACCCACGGCCGGCAGUAACCCUGAAGCAUUUUGAAGUCUGAUAAACUGUCAAUAAAAAAACUUUUAGCAACGGAUCU